This 500-nucleotide ribosomal RNA is filed under the name uncultured bacterium. RNAcentral's name for it is "bacterial SSU rRNA". It matches the Rfam family "Bacterial small subunit ribosomal RNA", at positions 8 to 526 of the family's 1533-position model. The record is from RNAcentral.
AGGGUUCGAUCAUGGCUCAGAACGUACGCUGGCGGCAUGCCUAACACAUGCAAGUCGAACGAGAAAGUUCCUUCGGGAGCAAUUAAAGUGGCGCACGGGUGAGUAACGCGUAGACAAUCUGCCCUUCAGUCUGGGACAACUUUUCGAAAGGAGAGCUAAUACCGGAUAACAAUGCACGACACAAGUUGUAUAUUUGAAAGCUUUAUGUGCUGAAGGAGGGGUCUGCGCCCCAUUAGCUAGUUGGUAAGGUAAAGGCUUACCAAGGCAACGAUGGGUAGCGGGUUUGAGAGGACGAUCCGCCACACUGGAACUGAGACACGGUCCAGACUCCUACGGGAGGCAGCAGUGGGGAAUAUUGCACAAUGGAGGAAACUCUGAUGCAGCAAUGUCGCGUGAGUGAAGAAGGCCCUUGGGUCGUAAAGCUCUUUUAUGGGGGAAGAUGAUGACGGUACCCCAAGAAUAAGCACCGGCUAACUAUGUGCCAGCAGCCGCGGUAAUAC